This 1503-nucleotide long non-coding RNA is filed under the name Manihot esculenta (cassava). Its description in RNAcentral is "long non-coding RNA (MESC_LNC010455)". The record is from RNAcentral. Lineage: Eukaryota; Viridiplantae; Streptophyta; Magnoliopsida; Malpighiales; Euphorbiaceae.
UCCCUUUUUUAAACUGUUUCUGUGAGCAACCACAAGUGGUUUUCUUUGGUCCCCUUUCAUAACCAACUGCCACACGAUGGCUGCACCUGCCAAUGGUUUUGCUCAAUUCCUCUAUAAAAACCCCUGGCUAGCUAGCUUCUGGCUCAUUCUCAUAUUGAACAAAAGCAAAAGCGCUUUAGAAGAAGAAGAAGAGAAUUGAGUAUAGGUUCAUCUGAGCAAAAAUGUCUGCAGUAGUGGAGAUAUGGGUGACUGAGCUAGCUAAGCUUAAAGAGAAGGUCAGACAAAGGAAGCCAUUAAUAAGCUUGUCAAAAGCCAAAGGAGCAGUAGUAGCUGAAGAGGAUAAGGAAGCUGGGAAAGAGAGCAAAGUGUUUAAGAGAGAAACUAAUAUUUCCGAGUCCACAGUUUUCAUGCUUAUGGACAGGUUUGCUCCUUCUUGAUAAACACAUCAAACCCUAUUAUGUAAAUAAAUUAGUGCCCAUGUAUUGUAUAUGUUUAUCAAUGCAAAAUGUUUUGUUUUAUGUUUUUUUUUCUGACUAAAAUGUUUAACCCACAAAAUUAUAUUGCAAUCGCAUUCAUGGAGAUGGAUCAAAAUGGAAUGAAUUUGGUAAAUUUGGAAAUGGGUUUCCUUCUUAGAACUAGCACCAGAAGGAUUCUGGAGAAAUUUAACAGUGGCAAUAAAUAAGAAGGACUACAGAUUGCAGUUUUCCUUUCACAGUUUUGCUUGUCAAUGAAUUUUACAAGUUCCUAUAUUUUAAACAAGUAAAUUAAUUAAAAAAAUUCAAUUUUGUAAAAAUUACUAAUUAAAUAUAUGAAGUUAAAUAGCUUUACAUAUAGCAUGAAAUUUUGUUUGACCAAUGGAAUGGCCGUUUGCCCCAAGGCCGGUUUUGCUAAUCAGGCAAUUAAUAAUUUUUUUUCAAGUCGUUUGCUUAUUCAAUAAGAACCUGCUGUGGUCUUCAAUUGCCAAUUUCCACAGCAUUCAGUCUUUCUUUCAAAUAUAUUUACUUUCAGGUCUUUCCUUGAAUUUUUUUUUUUUUUUUUAUCGAACUCUUUCCUUGAAUUGCAUAUGUAUAAACAAUCAAGUUUCAAUUUCCCAUUUGUCCAGACUCAAGACAGAGAAAAGCAGCAAUAAAUAUUGUACAACAUAAUGUUACAUCCUUUUUGUAAAAUAUACCUUUUCUUUCCCUCAAUUUUUUCUCUUCUUUAUUUAGAUGAACAAUCUUUGACUUAGCAUAGACUUUAACUUCAAUUGGACAGAAGAAAAUACAAGUGAAACUGGAAAUUAAUGUUGUCAAGCAGGCUGAUCAGGUUCAGUGCCCGAGAAACCACUGCCAACUAGAAGAGGACUGUAAAGUCCAUGCUCAAGUUCCAUACCCACAUUUUUCCCAGUAACUCGCUCAAGAGGAGCACUUGGCAAAGACAAGAUGGCACGAACUAGCUUUCCUACUCUUGUCUGCAACAAACCAUCACCAAGAUUAAUUGAUGUAGGAAAUGAACAUGAAGAUG